RNAcentral lists this transfer RNA (74 nucleotides) under Gammaproteobacteria bacterium. RNAcentral describes it as "tRNA-Gly". It matches the Rfam family "tRNA". Rfam says of the family: Transfer RNA (tRNA) molecules are approximately 80 nucleotides in length. Their secondary structure includes four short double-helical elements and three loops (D, anti-codon, and T loops). Further hydrogen bonds mediate the characteristic L-shaped molecular structure. tRNAs have two regions of fundamental functional importance: the anti-codon, which is responsible for specific mRNA codon recognition, and the 3' end, to which the tRNAs corresponding amino acid is attached (by aminoacyl-tRNA synthetases). tRNAs cope with the degeneracy of the genetic code in two manners: having more than one tRNA (with a specific anti-codon) for a particular amino acid; and 'wobble' base-pairing, i.e. permitting non-standard base-pairing at the 3rd anti-codon position. The record is from RNAcentral. RNAcentral also lists the same sequence under 2 other names. Lineage: Bacteria; Pseudomonadati; Pseudomonadota; Gammaproteobacteria.
GCGGGCGUCGUAUAAUGGUAUUACCUCAGCCUUCCAAGCUGAUGACGCGGGUUCGAUUCCCGCCGCCCGCUCCA